UCAACUUAUAUUUUCUAACAAUAAAAUAGCAGACCUUUGCAUCAGGACACUUCAGCUUGUGAUUAAAAAACUAUAUUAAGUGAUUUGUGAAUUAUAUAAAAGAACUUGUAAUCAAAUUUAAUGAUACUGAAAAUGCCAAAAAUAAAAAAGAUUGGUCUUAAUACCAUUUCUGCUCUGUAUUUUCAGUCAUAUCCUGUCAAGUAUCCGGUCAAGUCAUCCUUAAAAUACAGGCUGUAUUCCCCAACUGCAAUGACGAAUGCAUUUAGAGCUGUCAAGGAACAGCAGAUGUCAGUGUGUAGGGCAUCCAUUCAAUUUGGUGUGCCAACUACUUCACUUAGACAGAGGGUAAGGGGAAGAGUUGAUCCAGAAGUGAUUUCAUCAGUACCCUCUCCCGUUCUGUCCCAAGAAGAAGAAGCCAUGUUUGUUGACCUUUUAAAGUUUAUGGCUAGUGUAGGUUAUGGCUACACUCGGAUGGAAGUUGUGAACAUGGCGUCAGAAUAUGCGGUUUGCCUACACAAACGCGACAAAGAACAUCCCUUCUCCAUGAAGUGGUUUGAAAGUUUUAUGAAACGGUGGCCAGAACUUAACGUUUCGAAACCAAGAGCUUUGUCGUUGGCUAGGGCUAAAGCAACCAGCCAAGAGGUAGUGACCACCUAUUUCAAAGAACUCGAAAAUGUUCUACAUAAACACAGUUUGAUGGACAAACCACAACAUAUUUAUAAUGUUGAUGAGAAAGGCCUACAAACAGAACAUUCUCCACCAUUCGUAGUUGGCUGCAGGGAAACCACAACACCAGCUAUAACAUCAGCUAGAACAGCUACUACCACUGUUAUUGGGUGUGGGAAUGCUUUGGGAGCACAAAUACCACCAUAUUUUGUAUUCAAAGGGGAACGCAUGAGGGAGGAACUGCUGGAAGGACGAACACCUGGAGCUGAAGGUACAGUUACUCCCACAGGAUGGUCAAACAGAGAAGUGUUUGAAAGUUACCUUCAAAACCACUUUCUCAAAUAUGUGCAGGGAAGAGACAAGGACCAACCAAUAUUGGUAUUGUAUGAUGGCCACAAGUCCCACAUCUCUUUGCCUUUGAUAAACUGGGCAAAAGAGCAUAACAUCAUAUUGUUUGUACUGCCAGCCCACACCAGCCAUAUUUUACAGCCCCUGGAUGUUGGUUGUUUCGGCCCUUACCAGCGAAUUUUCAACUCUGAAUGCCACAAGUUCAUGCGUCACAAUCCUUCGUCCAGAAUUACGAGGUACAACAUCUGCUCUCUGGCAUGUAAGGCAUAUACUCAUACUUUGUCCCCUGAUAACCUCAAGUCAGCAUUUCAGAAAUCAGGUAUUUUCCCAUUCAAUCCCACUGCAGUAGAUUCUGCCCAGUUCAAACCAGCAACAGUAUAUAAAUCUAAAGGUCCAUCUCCAUGUAAUGCAGAGCCCAUAGAGUUGCAUGAUGUACAGGAAUUGACUGUCAAUGGCUCAGAUACAUGUCAACAUGAUUUUUUUAUGAAGAAAAUGGACUGCAUUUAAAUGAAAUCAGUGGACAGUAUUAAACAGAGGAGAGAUCUAAGUACAAUUGUUGGUGGAAAGGCCAUCACUGAAGAAAUCACUGUCAAAAAAAUUGAGGACCACCACAAAAAUGUCAAUUUAAGUACAGAUCAGGCAAAAAUUGUGAAAAAAAAAACCAACAAUAAAAAAAAGAGAAAAGUAUCUGCUACAAUAACAGAAAAACUGUAUAAAAUACCGAAAGUGUCCAAACUGCAGGAUAAUCCCAACCCAGGCCCAUCUGGACUUCAAAUCCUUCCAGUCUCCGACUGCAGUGAUUUUAGUUUAACUGAUGAUGAGGAUGAUGAAAAGUGUUGUGUUUGUGGAAGGUUCCAGCCUAUCGAAUUGACCAAUUGUGUGUCACUCAUAUUUACAAAAUGGGCACAGUGUGAUGUAGAGAAAUGUGGUCACUGGACACAUUUACAGUUUUGUUGUCCGCAAAGAGUUGUGAGAAGAGGUGAUCGCUUCUGCUGUCCAUUCACAUGGCAGUGGAAGAGUAGCUGUCUUUAAUUCCAACUAUUUCUUUGAUGCUGUUUUUCUUUAAGUUAUAUGUAUUUCUGCUUUUUGUUGAAGAUCUCACAACCAGAUCAUCAUGUAUUAUAUCCAUUGUCUAUAUAGUUGCUAAUAUUAUUUACACCCUGCUGUUAUUCUGAAUACAGACAUUCCAUGACUGUAUAAACUGUUAAAUUGUUGCUGAUAUGAACAAAAAAAUACAUCAAAGCCGGUUUAAGAACUUUUCAAUAGGCUUGUUAGUCAUUCCUGAUUUUUUAUAUAAGUUUUGGAACAACCCCCGUCGAAAUAUUGAGGUCUGGGGUCAAUCGACCGAAACAGGUGACGCAGUACACAACUUUCCUCGUAUGCUGUCAUGGCCGAAUCUCGGUGUUACGGAAAAAAGGGGAAGCAAUUGAUCGAUAUCGAUACACGAAUUAAUGGAGAUUGAAUAAGUCUUCCUAAACAGUUGCGGAUUUUCAGAACGUCACUGGUAUCAGUAUAGAAGUACAUGUAAAAUGGUUUCGAGAGCGAUUUGGUUCUAUGGCACGAUACAAACUGAAAUUUGAUGACAUGGACCGACAGAUGAUAGCUGAGCGUGGCAUACAGUUAACAGGGCACGAUCUUGAUGAAAUAGAAACAAUCGUUUCCAAUUCGAAACUUGUUCGGUAUCUGCAUUUAUUUGACAAUUUUGGACUGGUAACGAUGUUUAUUUGGUUCCUCCUCAUUCUUUGUUGCGCGUUUACCAACCUAGUUUUACUUUUGGCCUUACUGGAAAGAUCGAAGAAAGAAAGUGAACAGAAUGGUAACAUAAUCGUCAUGCUUAUGUUCUUCGAAGUGAUUAUUGUUGUGACUAUUUUCUUGGGAUUCUGUUGCUGUCACAAGUCCGUCUGUACAAAGAAGAAACCCUUCACAUACGAUCAACAGAUUUGGGAGACAUUACAUCUCGAAAAGAAAUUAGCCAUCUUUAAUGUUGGCGCAAGGGAAAGGCAACUUAUAGUGUUUUAUGUUCCUGCUUCACGCAGCUUAAUGCUGAUGCGAUAUGACUUCAAGCCGUGUCAAUCUUUCUUCACUAGGAGAUGCGAACGAAAGGAGAAUCUUCGAAAGUUCCAAAUGCCCGGGGAAUCCUUGAUAAAUUACACGAAUCGGCUAUUUGACAGUUUUCUGAGGUCGUAUGACGUUCACAUGCUGCGCCAUUCUUCUGCGCAACAGAAACGACACAAAAUGGCAAACGAGGCUAAAUGUAUUUGCCUUCUUGUUGAAGAAAUGAUUUGCUAGGACGUAGAUCCCAUGUCUCGUUUUAUGUUGUCAAUGGGUGGAAGACAUAAACGAACAAUUCUUCA
Dreissena polymorpha is the source of this 3368-nucleotide RNA transcript. RefSeq lists it as uncharacterized. The transcript has 8 exons. The record is from RefSeq and is a predicted model, not a curated record. NCBI's taxonomy places the organism in Eukaryota, Metazoa, Mollusca, Bivalvia, Myida, Dreissenidae.